ACUUCUAUAAAGGCCAGGUCUCCAAAUACAGUCACACGGGGAGCUAGGGCUUCAACCUAUGGCUUUUGGGGGAUACAGUUCAGUCCAUAGCAGUGGGGAAAGGAUGUGACUCAGUCUAGAGAGACUCAAGGAGGGAAUGCUUAGAUAGGAGCAUGGAGGGCGUGCCUGGUGAAGGGAACAGUAUGGCACAGCUUCAGAGGCAAGGGUGAGCCAGCAGCAAGGGGCUGGCUAUGGCCGGUACAAAAAGCAUGUGCUCGUGGGAAAUAGGCACCAAAGAAGGCCCAGAGAGGUUUAACAACUUCCUCAGAAUCACACAGCUUCCAAAUGGUUGGGUUGGGUUUACAUUUAGGCGGUCUUGCUCCAGAGCCAGUGCUCCUAACCUUUGCAAGCCACGAACCUCAAGAAAGUGGAGAAGGAAACGCUGGGAAAUCUGGAAGUCAGACAUGGCAAGUUUUUCUCACUGUAAGAAGAGGACAAUAGCCUAUGAUCUACAGUGCCCAUUCCAACUCAGAGAAUCUUUACAUCUGGAGAUCUAUAGCAGGGCUAUCCCUAGUGACAUGCGUGAAGAAGCUUGGAAAUGGUGCUGGGUAGGAGCUGAGUGUGCAGAAUGUGGAAAGGCAUUCUAAACCAAAGGAAGAACACGAGUAAAGAUGAUGAAGCAGGGAUAAGGCUAAAAUGAAAUUUGUGAUCUGAUCCACAUACAAGCACAGUGUAGUACAGCUGGAAUAUAGAGAAGAGCUUGAAGACUUAUGAGCAACUAUCCCGGUACUCUUGGAGGCUCUGCAACCACAGUUUGAGAAACUCCGCGUUCAAAGUUAAAAACUGUCACCUGAAUAGUUAAUAACAUCAAAGAUUGUGAAAGCAAGUAUAAAUAACACAGAGAUUAAAAUAAUGAGGCAGGAUCAGAAAGUCCUUGGAACAGGAGAAAGGGUUGGAAAACAAAGAUCACUUUUCUCUGGCCAAAUGGAAUCACCCAACAAAGUACCUUCCUGAUGGGCCAGCUAUUUCAGAUGAUGAAGGUUUAAGAAGCAGCAUCAUCAGCGAACUGUGUUUUGAAGAUUUGAGGGAAGGGCUGACCUCAGGAUUUUAUACUAGUUGCUGACCUCCAUAACAGCAGACAAAAUUGGAAGCAAGAGUGAUUUUGGAGGAGUCACACUUAGAUGUUUCCCUUACCUAUUUCUGUUCUGGAAAUUUAAAAAUCUUACUUCUCGUGACAGUCCUACAUGAAAAAUUAAAAAUCACAAGGAUUCAUGGAUGGAAAACUGAGACUCAGAGAAUGAUCACAUUCACAUCGUAAUAAAUCAGCAAUAGAGUGAGUGAUUGUUCCUUGGUAAGAAAUCAACUCUAAACUCAGUUGGAAACCUUUGCCAAUAUUACUUAACACAUGACAAUCUGGUGUGACUCAUUUUUCUUGACAUUAUGCAAAUAAAGGAAACAAGACUGAGUGGCCUUCUGUCCGGA
Molecule: long non-coding RNA, 1461 nt
Filed under: Homo sapiens (human)
Lineage: Eukaryota; Metazoa; Chordata; Mammalia; Primates; Hominidae
Description: long intergenic non-protein coding RNA 2028
Source: RNAcentral